CCCAGUGACAUUGUUCAACGGCCGCGGUAUCCUAACCGCGCGAAGGUAGCGUAAUCACUUGUUCUUUAAAUGAGGACUAGUAUGAAUGGCUUCACGAAAGCUAUGCUGUCUCCUUUAUCCAAUCAGUAAAACUAAUCUCCCCGUGAAGAAGCGGGGGUGUACCUAUAAGACGAGAAGACCCUAUGGAGCUUUAAACACCUUAAAACAUUUGAAUACCAUAUUUUCAGGUUCUGAAAACUUCACUAAGCCCCUCAUUCUGCUUUAAGUUUUAGGUUGGGGUGACCCCGGAGAACAACCCACCCUCCACGUAGAAAGGACCUCCUUUCUAAGCAAAAAGCCACAUCUUUAUGCAUCAAUACAUUGACCUAAAUUGACCCAAUUAUUUGACCAACGAACCAAGUUACCCUAGGGAUAACAGCGCAAUCCGCCUUAAGAGCUCCUAUCGACAGGCGGGCUUACGACCUCGAUGUUGGAUCA
RNAcentral lists this ribosomal RNA (477 nucleotides) under Allobates tapajos. Its description in RNAcentral is "partial 16S ribosomal RNA". It matches the Rfam family "Bacterial large subunit ribosomal RNA", at positions 1862 to 2539 of the family's 2925-position model. The record is from RNAcentral. Lineage: Eukaryota; Metazoa; Chordata; Amphibia; Anura; Aromobatidae.